UGCCACAGGCAACGGCCCGAAGGGCGAGGCGCUUUAGCGCCGAGUAAUCCUUCCCCCACCACCA
This 64-nucleotide small RNA is filed under the name Klebsiella pneumoniae. RNAcentral describes it as "partial RtT sRNA". It matches the Rfam family "RtT RNA", at positions 69 to 130 of the family's 130-position model. Rfam says of the family: This family represents a bacterial cis-regulatory element known as RtT RNA. The exact function of RtT is unknown although it is thought that it may be involved in changing the cellular response in relation to amino acid starvation. The record is from RNAcentral. Lineage: Bacteria; Pseudomonadati; Pseudomonadota; Gammaproteobacteria; Enterobacterales; Enterobacteriaceae.